UCAUAGCUCAGCUGGUAGAGCAUCUCAUUCGUAAUGAGAGGGUCGCAGGUUCGAAUCCUGUUGAU
RNAcentral lists this transfer RNA (65 nucleotides) under uncultured Phascolarctobacterium sp. It matches the Rfam family "tRNA", at positions 5 to 66 of the family's 71-position model. From Rfam's summary of the family: Transfer RNA (tRNA) molecules are approximately 80 nucleotides in length. Their secondary structure includes four short double-helical elements and three loops (D, anti-codon, and T loops). The record is from RNAcentral. Lineage: Bacteria; Bacillati; Bacillota; Negativicutes; Acidaminococcales; Acidaminococcaceae.